Molecule: ribosomal RNA, 581 nt
Filed under: uncultured bacterium
Lineage: Bacteria
Description: partial 16S ribosomal RNA
Rfam family: Bacterial small subunit ribosomal RNA
Source: RNAcentral
UGGGGAAUUUUGGACAAUGGGCGAAAGCCUGAUCCAGCAAUGCCGCGUGUGUGAAGAAGGCCUUCGGGUUGUAAAGCACUUUUGUCCGGAAAGAAAUCCUUGGCUCUAAUACAGUCGGGGGAUGACGGUACCGGAAGAAUAAGCACCGGCUAACUACGUGCCAGCAGCCGCGGUAAUACGUAGGGUGCAAGCGUUAAUCGGAAUUACUGGGCGUAAAGCGUGCGCAGGCGGUUUGCUAAGACCGAUGUGAAAUCCCCGGGCUCAACCUGGGAACUGCAUUGGUGACUGGCAGGCUAGAGUAUGGCAGAGGGGGGUAGAAUUCCACGUGUAGCAGUGAAAUGCGUAGAGAUGUGGAGGAAUACCGAUGGCGAAGGCAGCCCCCUGGGCCAAUACUGACGCUCAUGCACGAAAGCGUGGGGAGCAAAACAGGAUUAGAUACCCGUGGUAGUCCACGCCCUAAACGAUGUCAACUAGUUGUUGGGGAUUCAUUUCCUUAGUAACGUAGCUAACGCGUGAAGUUGACCGCCUGGGGAGUACGGUCGCAAGAUUAAAACUCAAAUGAAUUGACGGGGUCAUAGCUG